This 486-nucleotide ribosomal RNA is filed under the name uncultured bacterium. RNAcentral describes it as "bacterial SSU rRNA". It matches the Rfam family "Bacterial small subunit ribosomal RNA", at positions 28 to 509 of the family's 1533-position model. The record is from RNAcentral.
GAUGAACGCUAGCGGCAGGCUUAACACAUGCAAGUCGAGGGGCAGCACGGGUAGCAAUACCUGGUGGCGACCGGCGCAAGGGUGCGUAACGCGUGAGCAACAUGCCCUAUACAGGGGGAUAAUCCAGGGAAACUUGGUCUAAUAUCCCAUAGUAUUUAGAGGAGGCAUCUUCUAUAAAUUAAAGCUUCGGUGGUAUAGGAUUGGCUCGCGUGACAUUAGCUAGAUGGUGAGGUAACGGCUCACCAUGGCAAUGAUGUCUAGGGGUUCUGAGAGGGUUGUCCCCCACACUGGUACUGAGACACGGACCAGACUCCUACGGGAGGCAGCAGUGAGGAAUAUUGGUCAAUGGGCGCAAGCCUGAACCAGCCAUCCCGCGUGAAGGAAGAAUGCGCUACGCGUUGUAAACUUCUUUUCCAGGGGGAGAAUAAUCCUGUCGUGACAGGACUUGACGGUACUCUGGGAAUAAGCAUCGGCUAACUCCGUGCC